UGCCAGCAGCCGCGGUAACACGUACUGUGCGAACGUUAUUCGGAAUCACUGGGCUUAAAGGGUGCGUAGGCGGUUUAUCAAGUCAGAUGUGAAAUGCCUGAGCUCAACUGAGGCACUGCGUUUGAAACUGAUAGACUUGAGUAUUCCAGGGGUAUGCGGAACUGCCAGUGGAGCGGUGAAAUGCGUUGAUAUUGGCAGGAACACCAGUGGCGAAGGCGGCAUACUGGGGGAUAACUGACGCUGAGGCACGAAAGCCAGGGUAGCGAACGGGAUUAGAUA
Molecule: ribosomal RNA, 279 nt
Filed under: uncultured bacterium
Lineage: Bacteria
Description: partial 16S ribosomal RNA
Rfam family: Bacterial small subunit ribosomal RNA
Source: RNAcentral